Polypterus senegalus (gray bichir) is the source of this 840-nucleotide long non-coding RNA. RefSeq lists it as uncharacterized. Lineage: Eukaryota; Metazoa; Chordata; Cladistia; Polypteriformes; Polypteridae. The transcript has 3 exons. The record is from RefSeq and is a predicted model, not a curated record.
UUAGCACUGCGUACAGCUUCAUGUUUGGCUGAAGUUUUCGGCAUUCCUUCAGCCGUGAGUCAGAACUGGAGUCACAGGGAAGCUUCCAGAAACCACGGUGACGACAUCAGUAACUCCAACUCAUUCACAAUUGCCUACUUUGGGACUGUCACGAACAAUUACGUGCAGGCAGAAAUACCGGAACAGCGGAGCGCCAUUCAUUUCUUGGCGGAUAUAGCUGUAGUUAGAACCCUGUUCCGCCGCGAAGCCAACAGUCGGAAUCACGGCCAUUAAGGGUAUCUGGAUGUGGACCCUGGUGCUGCUGACAGGCUGCUCUCCUGCAUAAGGAUAAGUUAUCUCAGAUAAGGGAAUGUUGGAAAUUUGGAUUGAAAGAUUCUCUUAUCAGAUUGGAUGGCCAACACAGACUCCACUAUAGAAAACCUAGGAGCAGAAGUACCAACCAAACAGUGAUGUCACCACCAAACCACCCUCUGAUGACGUCACUUCUGGCCUUUCCUGAUGACAUCUUUCCUUUCAGAACCUGCUUACCAAAGACAUCACUGUCUCUUCCGGCUAUACUUAUAUUAUAUUUACUUAUACUCCUGUCUACCAUGGUGCUUGCAACCUGUUGCAUGUUGGGCAUGAAAAUAAGAAUUUCACUGGACUCUGUACAUGUGACAGUAUCUCUAAUUAAACCCUUCUGCAUUAUUAUCUUGUUUUAAUAAAUCCAUCUGUCCAUUUUCUAAACCUGCUUCUCCAGGAACCUAUCCCAUCAAGCAAUGGGGACAAAGCAGAAACCGUCUACAGAAAAGACACCCACCAUUUCAUGCUGAAUACACACAGACCAAUUUAGCAUCAGCA